GCACCUGUGGCUCAAAGGAGUAGGGUGCUGGUCCCAUAUACCAGAGGUGGUGGGUUCAAAACCCAACCUGGGCCA
This is a non-coding RNA of Otolemur garnettii (small-eared galago), 75 nucleotides long. The record is from Rfam. NCBI's taxonomy places the organism in Eukaryota, Metazoa, Chordata, Mammalia, Primates, Galagidae.